Molecule: ribosomal RNA, 404 nt
Filed under: Acidobacteriota bacterium
Lineage: Bacteria; Pseudomonadati; Acidobacteriota
Description: Acidobacteria bacterium partial 16S ribosomal RNA
Rfam family: Bacterial small subunit ribosomal RNA
Source: RNAcentral
UGGGGAAUAUUGCACAAUGGGGGAAACCCUGAUGCAGCGACGCCGCGUGAAGGAAGAAGUAUCUCGGUAUGUAAACUUCUAUCAGCAGGGAAGAUAGUGACGGUACCUGACUAAGAAGCCCCGGCUAACUACGUGCCAGCAGCCGCGGUAAUACGUAGGGGGCAAGCGUUAUCCGGAUUUACUGGGUGUAAAGGGAGCGUAGACGGUGUGGCAAGUCUGAUGUGAAAGGCAUUGGCUCAACCUGUGGACUGCAUUGGAAACUGUCAUACUUGAGUGCCGGAGGGGUAAGCGGAAUUCCUAGUGUAGCGGUGAAAUGCGUAGAUAUUAGGAGGAACACCAGUGGCGAGGGCGGCUUACUGGACGGUAACUGACGUUGAGGCUCGAAAGCGUGGGGAGCAAACAGG